AUAUGGGAAUACGGGAGCUCGAGCGAAUCGGGCUGAGAGUGCAGCUAAUGAACCGCUGCUGACCGGGAAUCUGAUCUGGAUAAUGCCAGCGUAGAGAAUUCAAGUCCUUCUAUG
Molecule: non-coding RNA, 114 nt
Filed under: Paenibacillus rhizosphaerae
Lineage: Bacteria; Bacillati; Bacillota; Bacilli; Caryophanales; Paenibacillaceae
Description: TPP sequence
Rfam family: TPP riboswitch aptamer (THI element)
About the family: Vitamin B(1) in its active form thiamin pyrophosphate (TPP) is an essential coenzyme that is synthesised by coupling of pyrimidine and thiazole moieties in bacteria. The previously detected thiamin-regulatory element, thi box was extended, resulting in a new, highly conserved RNA secondary structure, the THI element, which is widely distributed in eubacteria and also occurs in some archaea.
Source: Rfam by way of RNAcentral